Long non-coding RNA from Amphiprion ocellaris (clown anemonefish), 1006 nucleotides. NCBI's taxonomy places the organism in Eukaryota, Metazoa, Chordata, Actinopteri, Pomacentridae. The record is from Ensembl.
AGGUCUCGCUCACCGCCUUCGGUCUGUCUAUUCUUGUGCUGGAGCGGCUCCUGGCUGUUCCUGCUCUCCGGUGCCUUGGCUCUGUGGUAAAGUCCUGCAGUGUGGUGUAGUUUGUUUGGCUGCCAAGCUGCUGCUGUUGACCUGAGACAGAAAUAGAACGGAGAUUGAGCUCCGCCGCCAGACCUUUUAACAGUGACAGGGGUGCAGCUGGAGGAAUAAAAUCACCUUAAGAAAAGGCUACAUCUGGUGGCUGUUGUGGAGAUAUGGUGAAGCUCAUGAAAUGAUGAAUUUUGGAGAUGCAGUACAGGCUCUGGAGGUGCAUUUGGAGUGUGCAGUUGAUGCAUGCCUCAAACAAUCAUGCUGAAGCUACUGUGCAGACCUGCUGGAUCUCCUUGGCGCUGCGUUGCCUCUGCAGCCGGUUCAUCCUGCUGCCUCGGUCCAGCUGUUCGCUGAGCGUCCUCAGCUUUCUGUCUCUGUCGUCCAUGUCGGCCCUCAUCUGUUCCAGACUCUGCACUCGAUAACUGUCCAGCUCCUUUCUGCUGCGAGCCUCCUGAGCAGACUGAUGCCGGACCACCUGGAGCUCCUCCGUCUGGGAGAAAGAAUCAUUUAGUGAAUAUGUCCAGGCAGCACUUGGUAGAUUCACUGUCUUUUCCUCCUAGCUUCUGGUGUUACAGGAAUUUAAAAUGUGGUCACUCACUUCACUGCAGCGCUUCACAUGAAUCAUGAAGUCUGUGGCAGUUCCAGUUCCAGAUUUGAUGCUCACUUUUUAGCAGCAUAUUUACAAACUCUAUUGACCCCAGCAGCCAUCAGUAGCUCAUCUUCAUGUUAGCAGAUGUUCAUGCAGCUGUGAAGUGUGGAUAAGAUUUAACAAACCUUCCUGCUGAGCAGCUUCUUGGUGCUGCUGCAGUCGUCCUGAAAUCAAGCUAAAACCUGCUGGAUGACGUUCAGCUCCUCCUGCAGCAAAACCAGCUUCUCCUGUGAAAUCAGCUUCACUCUGAGAGCCUCG